This 270-nucleotide ribosomal RNA is filed under the name uncultured bacterium. RNAcentral's name for it is "partial 16S ribosomal RNA". The record is from RNAcentral.
CUGCUGCCUUCCGUAGGAGUCUGGGCCGUGUCUCAGUCCUAGUGUGGGGGGCCUUCCUCUCAGAACCCCUACGCAUCGUCGCCACGGUGGGCCGUCACCCCGCCGUCUAGCUAAUGCGCCGCAUGCCCAUCCGCCACCGGAUCGCUCCUUUGGCCACCCGGAGGAUGCCCUCCGGUGGCGUCACGGGGUAUUAGGCCGCGUUUCCGCGGGUUAUCCCCCUGUGGCGGCCAGGUUGCAUACGUGUUACUCACCCGUGCGCCGGUCGCCGGG